UCUGGGGAUUCUGGCUCCAGCUCUUUCCCUUCUGGUGUUUCCCCCACACUCUUCAAUGUUCAUAGUAUCCAGGUUUCAUUGUUCUGCGUCCCCGGCCAGAAGGAUUUUGGGAUUUCCCAUGUGUAUUCCCUGCCACUGCUGUUUGCCCAAAGGACUAGCAUAGCUCCUCAAAGAUGGUAAUUAUUUGUACCACCUUCUGCCUUCCUCCUCCUGUAUGGGGGCCUCUCACUGCUGUGGCCUCUCCCGUUGCGGAGCAUAGGCCCCGGACACGCAAGCCCAGCGGCCAUGGCUCACGGGCCCAGCCGCUCCGCGGCAUGUGGGAUCCUCCCAGACCGGGGCACGAACCCGCAUCCCCUGCAUCAGCAGGUGGACUCUCAACCACUGCGCCACCAGGGAAGCCCAACAUGACUUAUUGAUCACAUGGACUUCGCCAUCAUGGGUUAGGCUCUGACUGAGGCACAGUGAGAGGAUUUGAAAUUUAUUCAAAAAAAUGUGUAUUGAAUAUUAUGCAUCUACUAUGCCUCAGGUCUUCUUCUAGGCACCCUGGUAGACCGAACAAAACUCAACUCCCUCAGAGCUCAUAGUCCAUUGGUUGCAAAAAAUGUGUAAAAAAUGCAUAAACAAUGUUACAAUUUACUUUAAGAGUCAAGUUACGAAAACUUGAAACUUAAAAAAAAAUAGCAAAGAACAGAAAAUUUAAAUAAAGGUCUAAGGUAGCAAUUACAAAGAUGUCCUAAGGGAGUAGAUAAUGAAUUGCCAAGUGUAUGUUAUAAACAUGUGUCCUAGAUGUUUUUAAGUCAGGGAAGUCAGUUUAUAUAUGCUAUAUAAAUAAUAAAUAUGUUUAUGAGACGUUUUCCGCAAACUAACUUCACUCCAAAUUCAUGUGCUGAACGACCAUGGAGUAUGCUAUGUCAUCAUGCACAAAAAAAGGAUGGCUGCCUGGAGCACAGGGUCAGCAAUGAGUCUUUUUUGGACACCUAAUAAACAUCGAUGAUGUACACUGCUUUAUUGUGAUAGACAAUUUAAAUACACACACACACACACAAUUUCCAAAGAUUUAGGAAGUAUGAUUUCCAGACUUUGAAAUCAAGCUGAAGGUCUAUAAGGUAAGAUAAAACCCAAUCCUUAAUGUGGUAUUGGUCUCUUGCUGCACUUCAAAACCAAGUAAUCAAAACAAAGGAAUAUAUAUGUAUGUGUAUAUAUAUAUAUAUAUAUAUAUAUAUAUAUAUAUAUAUACACUAGA
Long non-coding RNA from Orcinus orca (killer whale), 1243 nucleotides. RefSeq lists it as uncharacterized. The record is from RefSeq and is a predicted model, not a curated record. NCBI's taxonomy places the organism in Eukaryota, Metazoa, Chordata, Mammalia, Artiodactyla, Delphinidae. The transcript has 2 exons.